RNAcentral lists this ribosomal RNA (497 nucleotides) under uncultured bacterium. Its description in RNAcentral is "partial 16S ribosomal RNA". It matches the Rfam family "Bacterial small subunit ribosomal RNA", at positions 28 to 507 of the family's 1533-position model. The record is from RNAcentral.
GAUGAACGCUGGCGGCGUGCCUAAUACAUGCAAGUCGAGCGAACAGAUGAGGAGCUUGCUCCUCUGACGUUAGCGGCGGACGGGUGAGUAACACGUGGAUAACCUACCUAUAAGACUGGGAUAACUUCGGGAAACCGGAGCUAAUACCGGAUAAUAUAUUGAACCGCAUGGUUCAAUAGUGAAAGACGGUUUUGCUGUCACUUAUAGAUGGAUCCGCGCCGCAUUAGCUAGUUGGUAAGGUAACGGCUUACCAAGGCAACGAUGCGUAGCCGACCUGAGAGGGUGAUCGGCCACACUGGAACUGAGACACGGUCCAGACUCCUACGGGAGGCAGCAGUAGGGAAUCUUCCGCAAUGGGCGAAAGCCUGACGGAGCAACGCCGCGUGAGUCAUGAAGGUCUUCGGAUCGUAAAACUCUGUUAUUGGGGAAGAACAAAUGUGUAAGUAACUAUGCACGUCUUGACGGUACCUAAUCAGAAAGCCACGGCUAACUACGUG